AGAGUUUGAUCCUGGCUCAGAACGAACGCUGGCGGCGUGCCUAACACAUGCAAGUCGAGCGAGAAAGCCCGCAAGGGUGAGUAAAGCGGCGCACGGGUGCGUAACACGUGGGUAAUCUGCCCUAGAGUCUGGAAUAACUCGCCGAAAGGCGUGCUAAUGCCGGAUGAGACCACGGGAGCUCAGGCUCUCGCGGGAAAAGGUGGCCUCUGUAUACAAGCUAUCGCUCUAGGAUGAGCCCGCGGCCCAUCAGCUCGUUGGCGGGGUAAUGGCCCACCAAGGCUACGACGGGUAGCUGGUCUGAGAGGACGAUCAGCCACACUGGAACUGAGACACGGUCCAGACUCCUACGGGAGGCAGCAGUGGGGAAUCUUGCGCAAUGGGCGAAAGCCUGACGCAGCAACGCCGCGUGUGUGAUGAAGGUCUUCGGAUCGUAAAGCACUGUCGCGAGGGACGAAUAAGGGUCGGGCUAACAUCCCGGUCCGAUGACGGUACCUCGAGAGGAAGCACCGGCUAACUCUGUGCCAGCAGCCGCGGUAAUACAGAGGGUGCAAGCGUUGUUCGGAAUUAUUGGGCGUAAAGCGCGUGUAGGCGGCUUAGUAAGUUGGGUGUGAAAGCCCUCGGCUUAACCGAGGAAGUGCGCCCAAAACUGCUUCGCUUGAGUACCGGAGAGGGUGGCGGAAUUCCCGGUGUAGAGGUGAAAUUCGUAGAUAUCGGGAGGAACACCAGUGGCGAAGGCGGCCACCUGGACGGCUACUGACGCUGAGACGCGAAAGCGUGGGGAGCAAACAGGAUUAGAUACCCUGGUAGUCCACGCUGUAAACGAUGAGCGCUAGGUGUUGUGGGUGUUGACCCCCGCAGUGCCGCAGCUAACGCAUUAAGCGCUCCGCCUGGGAAGUACGGCCGCAAGGCUAAAACUCAAAGGAAUUGAUGG
Molecule: ribosomal RNA, 931 nt
Filed under: uncultured bacterium
Lineage: Bacteria
Description: bacterial SSU rRNA
Rfam family: Bacterial small subunit ribosomal RNA
Source: RNAcentral